GUGGGGAAUAUUGCGCAAUGGGGGAAACCCUGACGCAGCGACGCCGUGUGAGGGAAGAAGGCUUUCGGGUCGUAAACCUCUGUCAGAAAGGAAGAACCUCCCAAGUCCGAAUAGGGCUUGGGACUGACGGUACUUUCAAAGGAAGCACCGGCUAACUCCGUGCCAGCAGCCGCGGUAAUACGGAGGGUGCAAGCGUUAAUCGGAAUCACUGGGCGUAAUGCGUGCGUAGGCCGCUUUGUAAGUCGGACGUGAAAGCCCUCGGCUCAACCGGGGAACUGCGGUCGAUACUGCGAGGCUUGAGUCCUGGAGAGGGUGGCGGAAUUCCGGGUGUAGGAGUGAAAUCCGUAGAUAUCCGGAGGAACACCGGUGGCGAAGGCGGCCACCUGGACAGGUACUGACGCUGAGGCGCGAAAGCGUGGGGAGCAAACAGGAUUAGAAACCCCUGUAGUCC
Molecule: ribosomal RNA, 451 nt
Filed under: uncultured bacterium
Lineage: Bacteria
Description: partial 16S ribosomal RNA
Rfam family: Bacterial small subunit ribosomal RNA
Source: RNAcentral